UACGUAGGGUGCGAGCGUUAAUCGGAAUUACUGGGCGUAAAGCGAGCGCAGACGGUUGUUUAAGUCAGAUGUGAAAUCCCCAAGCUCAACUUGGGAACUGCGUUUGAAACUGGAUAACUAGAGUGUGUCAGAGGGGGGUAGAAUUCCACGUGUAGCAGUGAAAUGCGUAGAGAUGUGGAGGAAUACCGAUGGCGAAGGCAGCCCCCUGGGAUAACACUGACGUUCAUGCUCGAAAGCGUGGGGAGCAAACAGG
RNAcentral lists this ribosomal RNA (253 nucleotides) under uncultured bacterium. RNAcentral describes it as "partial 16S ribosomal RNA". It matches the Rfam family "Bacterial small subunit ribosomal RNA", at positions 524 to 776 of the family's 1533-position model. The record is from RNAcentral.